GGGGCCGUAGGGUAGCCUGGUCCAUCCUUCACGCUUGGGGUGCGUGAGACCUGAGUUCAAAUCUCAGCGGCCCCA
This 75-nucleotide transfer RNA is filed under the name Candidatus Methanoperedens sp. RNAcentral describes it as "tRNA-Pro". It matches the Rfam family "tRNA". From Rfam's summary of the family: Transfer RNA (tRNA) molecules are approximately 80 nucleotides in length. Their secondary structure includes four short double-helical elements and three loops (D, anti-codon, and T loops). Lineage: Archaea; Methanobacteriati; Methanobacteriota; Methanomicrobia; Methanosarcinales; Candidatus Methanoperedentaceae. The record is from RNAcentral.